GACGAGGGAUCCUAGCGUUGUUCGGAAUCAUUGGGCGUAAAGAGUAUGUAGGCGGCCUUGUAAGUCAGUUGUGAAAUCCCCAGGCUUAACCUGGGAACUGCAUCCGAUACUGGAUGGCUUGAAUUCGGGAGAGGGAUGCAGAAUUCCAGGUGUAGCGGUGAAAUGCGUAGAUAUCUGGAGGAAUACCGGUGGCGAAGGCGGCAUCCUGGACCGACAUUGACGCUGAGGUGCGAAAGCGUGGGGAGCAAACAGG
RNAcentral lists this ribosomal RNA (253 nucleotides) under uncultured bacterium. RNAcentral describes it as "partial 16S ribosomal RNA". It matches the Rfam family "Bacterial small subunit ribosomal RNA", at positions 524 to 776 of the family's 1533-position model. The record is from RNAcentral.